Molecule: ribosomal RNA, 468 nt
Filed under: uncultured bacterium
Lineage: Bacteria
Description: partial 16S ribosomal RNA
Rfam family: Bacterial small subunit ribosomal RNA
Source: RNAcentral
GACGAACGCUGGCGACGUGCUUAACACAUGCAAGUCGAACGGAAAGGCCCUGCUUUUGUGGGGUGCUCGAGUGGCGAACGGGUGAGUAACACGUGAGUAACCUGCCCUUGACUUUGGGAUAACUUCAGGAAACUGGGGCUAAUACCGGAUAGGAGCUCCUGCUGCAUGGUGGGGGUUGGAAAGUUUCGGCGGUUGGGGAUGGACUCGCGGCUUAUCAGCUUGUUGGUGGGGUAGUGGCUUACCAAGGCUUUGACGGGUAGCCGGCCUGAGAGGGUGACCGGCCACAUGGGGACUGAGAUACGGCCCAGACUCCUACGGGAGGCAGCAGUGGGGAAUAUUGCACAAUAGGCGGAAGCCUGAUGCAGCAACGCCGCGUGCGGGAUGACGGCCUUCGGGGUGUAAACCGCUUUCGCCUGUGACGAAGCGUGAGUGACGGUAAUGGGUAAAGAAGCACCGGCUAACUACGUG